CAGCAGCCACGGUAAUACGGAGGGUGCAAGCGUUAAUCGGAAUUACUGGGCGUAAAGCGUGCGUAGGCGGUUCGUUAAGUCUGUUGUGAAAGCCCCGGGCUCAACCUGGGAAUGGCAAUGGAUACUGGCGAGCUAGAGUGUGUCAGAGGAUGGUGGAAUUCCCGGUGUAGCGGUGAAGUGCGUAGAGAUCGGGAGGAACAUCAGUGGCGAAGGCGGCCAUCAGGGACAACACUGACGCUGAGGCACGAAAGCGUGGGGAGCAAACAGGAUUAGAUACCCCUGUAGUCCCUGUCUCUUAUAC
Molecule: ribosomal RNA, 301 nt
Filed under: uncultured bacterium
Lineage: Bacteria
Description: partial 16S ribosomal RNA
Rfam family: Bacterial small subunit ribosomal RNA
Source: RNAcentral